Molecule: ribosomal RNA, 230 nt
Filed under: uncultured bacterium
Lineage: Bacteria
Description: partial 16S ribosomal RNA
Rfam family: Bacterial small subunit ribosomal RNA
Source: RNAcentral
UGAGCAAUCUGCCCUUCACAUCGGAAUAACCAUUGGAAACGAUGGCUAAUACCGAAUAUGACUUCGGAUCGCAUGAUCGGAGGUGGAAAGCUCCGGCGGAGAAGGAUGAGCUCGCGGCCUAUCAGCUAGUUGGUGUGGGUAAUGGCCCACAAGGCGACGACGGGUAGCCGGCCUGAGGAGGGUCGACCGGCCACACUGGGACUGAGACACGGCCCAGACCUCGUACGGGA